AUAAAUAAAUUUGACUGUGACAUCUGUAAGUCUAUUGAUCAUCAGGGUUGAUUUGCCUUAUCUGGCUGGCUAAGCGUGUGUCCUCAUCUUCCCUUACCAUACAUGUGUGUCUCUCCUGAAGUUGUGCAGUUGCUGGAAGAGGACAUCCAACACAGACAAAGGGACUGUAUUGUUCUUUGAUCAAGGCUAUAUAACAGCCAUCCAUCCCUGAGGAACAUCUACCAGUUGCUGGAACUGUUGCUGGGCCUAGGCAGCCACACCUGGGACUGGAGGGGUGAGGCCAGCAGCCCUUAAGCAACAAAGAGCCAAACUAGAACUGCCUCUU
This 325-nucleotide small RNA is filed under the name Salvator merianae (Argentine black and white tegu). RNAcentral describes it as "7SK RNA (ENSSMRG00000015070.1)". The stretch from base 3 to 196 matches the Rfam family "7SK RNA". Rfam says of the family: 7SK was discovered as an abundant small nuclear RNA in the mid-70s but a possible function has only recently been suggested. Two independent studies have found that 7SK RNA binds the CDK9/cyclin T complex (known as elongation factor P-TEFb). The record is from RNAcentral. Lineage: Eukaryota; Metazoa; Chordata; Lepidosauria; Squamata; Teiidae.